UCCCAAGAAUAUUAGUCAAUGCUCGUAAGAGUGAACUAGCUAACUGAAAUCAUAGAAUUUUUUUAAGUUCAUGAUGUCGUAAGGGAAAAUAAUGAUAAUACCUUACUAUGAGUGUCGUCCAAAUCUGGUGCCAGAAGACUCGGUAAGACCAGAGACGCAAACGUUAAUCAUCAUAAACAGGCGUAAAGGGUUUGUAGGCAGCUUUUAUAAGAUUAAAAAAAUUAAUUUAAUUGAAAGCUAGAAUCAAAAAGAGGUUAUAGUGUAUAACGCCUAGAGGAGGGCUGAUAUCCAUAGAUCCUAGGCAGAAUACUUAGGGCGAAGGCCACUCUCCACUAAUGAUUGACGCUGAGAAACGAAGGUUAGGGUAGGAAAUAGGAUUAGAUACCCCGGUACUCCUUUCUGUAAACGAUGAAUGGUAGUCAUUAGUUAAAUUAAAUAACUAGAGGCGAAGUUA
This 454-nucleotide ribosomal RNA is filed under the name Sparassis crispa. RNAcentral describes it as "SSU rRNA". It matches the Rfam family "Bacterial small subunit ribosomal RNA", at positions 353 to 854 of the family's 1533-position model. Lineage: Eukaryota; Fungi; Basidiomycota; Agaricomycetes; Polyporales; Sparassidaceae. The record is from RNAcentral.